ACAAUGCCUUAGUAGCCACUGGAUUUACUAUGAAAUCUGAUGGCAACAAUGUCUGCAACUAGGACUACUAGACCCUGAAAUAAGGCACUCUGAUGGGUAUGCCAUCUUGAAUUUGGUCAUUGACCAGGAGAAGCAGGUGGAAUCCUAAAAUGGCUGCUGUCAUCAUUCCUCACUCACAAGCUACAUCCCAGAGGGACUGUCUCUCAACCUGAACUCUCCAUUCUGGAAUGGAUCCUCAUGGCUGAUUUACUGAUUUAAUAAAAGCCAUGUAGACUAA
Salvelinus fontinalis (brook trout) is the source of this 277-nucleotide long non-coding RNA. RefSeq lists it as uncharacterized. The transcript is spliced from 2 exons. NCBI's taxonomy places the organism in Eukaryota, Metazoa, Chordata, Actinopteri, Salmoniformes, Salmonidae. The record is from RefSeq and is a predicted model, not a curated record.